UACGGGGGGGGCAAGCGUUGUUCGGAAUUACUGGGCGUAAAGGGUCGGUAGGUGGCCCGCUAAGUCACACGUGAAAUCCCUCAGCUCAACUGGGGAACUGCGUGUGAGACUGGCAGGCUCGAGUGCAGGAGAGGAACGCGGAAUUCCAGGUGUAGCGGUGAAAUGCGUAGAUAUCUGGAGGAACACCGGUGGCGAAGGCGGCGUUCUGGACUGUAUCUGACACUGAACGACGAAAGCCAGGGGAGCAAAC
RNAcentral lists this ribosomal RNA (250 nucleotides) under uncultured bacterium. Its description in RNAcentral is "partial 16S ribosomal RNA". It matches the Rfam family "Bacterial small subunit ribosomal RNA", at positions 524 to 773 of the family's 1533-position model. The record is from RNAcentral.